UACGGAGGGUGCAAGCGUUAUUCGGAUUUACUGGGCGUAAAGCGCGCGUAGGCUGUUUAGUAAGUUUGAUGUGAAAGUCCACGACUCAAUCGUGGAAGUGCAUUGGAUACUGCUAGACUAGAGUAUAGGAGAGGGGGACGGAAUUCCUGGUGUAAAGGUAGAAUUUGUAGAUAUCAGGAGGAACAACAGUGGCGAAGGCGGUUCUCUGGACUAUUACUGACGCUGAGGUGCGAAAGUGUGGGGAGCAAAC
Molecule: ribosomal RNA, 250 nt
Filed under: uncultured prokaryote
Description: partial 16S ribosomal RNA
Rfam family: Bacterial small subunit ribosomal RNA
Source: RNAcentral